Varroa destructor (honeybee mite) is the source of this 657-nucleotide long non-coding RNA. RefSeq lists it as uncharacterized. Lineage: Eukaryota; Metazoa; Arthropoda; Arachnida; Mesostigmata; Varroidae. The record is from RefSeq and is a predicted model, not a curated record.
CAGCUUACACAUAAUCGCCGGCAAGCUCGGCCGUGUGUUCGGCCCAGACGGAUGUAGUUCGCACGACAACGCCUACUAGCGCGUGCGUGACAGGGACGUGACAGCCUCUUACGACAAUGGGAUCGAAGGAGCACAAGGUCUUGCAGAGUGCGUCUGAGCCAGCCAGGAUCUUUGCGGCCCGCCUAGCUUACCUAAGCAGUAUUAGCUCAUGCAGCUAGGAAGCUACCGUCAUCCGUUACUACAAUAGCCAACACUCAUCAGGGAUUAUCAGCAGUCAUCAUUUAAAAUUGCUUUCCGCUCUACGUGCGGCGUCAAAAAGUUGUUGCAUUUAUCACCGCCAUAACUGAUAUCGAGUUCGUAUGGAGAUUGUCAGCACAAAGAUGUACCCAUUUACAUUGACAUGCGAUAAUUAUGCCUUCGACGAAAAUAGCAACCUUCGGGCGAUUAUGGGAUGGCUGUUGGGUCGUACCUUCUAACAUCGUGGCUGAUCACGCCAUCUACCGCCGCCGCCGUUAUUCCGACCUAAAUAUAGAUGCUCGUCACUUUUUUGGAACCCAACUACCUGAAACGCUCUAGGUCUUUGGCAGAGCAGAGAUAAGGAUUCUCUUACCUAGUCUCGAGCCCAUACUCGGUCUCUUCCAUAUUCGUAUUGAGUUU